Molecule: unclassified non-coding RNA, 389 nt
Filed under: Hevea brasiliensis (rubber tree)
Lineage: Eukaryota; Viridiplantae; Streptophyta; Magnoliopsida; Malpighiales; Euphorbiaceae
Source: RNAcentral
GAAUGCGAUUUGCAAGCCAUUCUUGGAAAACAUAAAAUCCAUCAAAAAGUGUUUAUGACUACAGAAUCAGAAAGUAUCUAUUAACAUCUUUCGCAAGAAUAAAAGGAAAUCACCAGAGCAGCUGGCAUAUAUACAGACACAGGAUGACACCUCAACAUGACUAAUCACAGUUGAAAUUCAAGUGGUAAAGGAUUGAUUUACCACCAAAGCAGAGCAAGUACCACCAAGACAACGAUCAACAAAAGAAGAUUCUUCAAAACAUUGUCAGCAUGGUGACCUCGACUCAUUGGCUGGGGGAAUCCAUGUGCAUGGCCACCAUGAAAUGCAUGAUAUCCAUAUGGAAAACCAGAUGUUGUCCUGUAUACUGUAGCAUCCGGGAAACCAUGAAA